Molecule: RNA transcript, 1691 nt
Organism: Zea mays
Lineage: Eukaryota; Viridiplantae; Streptophyta; Magnoliopsida; Poales; Poaceae
Exons: 10
Source: RefSeq, marked validated
CGGAGUUCCCAACUCGGUAAGGUACGAAAGCCCAACGGGCCCCAAACAGUCCAGAAGGGGCUCUCACACCGGAUCCGCUCUGGCUCCAACAACGUGAUGGGCUCCAUGGAAGCGUCGACCGCGCCGGAGAACGGCUCCUCCGCUGCCGGUGGCGGAGCCGGCGGCACGGCGUGCAACGGGGCGGGCGCCGCGUCUAACGGAGGAGGCAUGGAGAGGCGGCUGAGGUCCUCGGCCGCGUCCGCGUCGUGGGCGGCGCACCUUCCCCUGGAGGUGGGCACGCGCGUGAUGUGCCGGUGGCGCGACCAGAAGCUCCACCCGGUCAAGGUGAUCGAGCGCCGCAAGGGCUCCGCGUGCUCUUCCCCCGCCGACUACGAGUAUUACGUCCACUACACCGAGUUCAAUAGAAGACUUGACGAGUGGGUUAAGCUUGAUCAGCUUGAUCUUGACACUGUCGAGACCGUUGUCGAUGAGAAAGUAGAAGAUAAGGCAACAAGCUUAAAGAUGACACGGCACCAGAAACGUAAAAUUGAUGAAACACAUGUGGAGCAAGGACAUGAGGAGCUUGAUGCAGCCAGCUUGCGGGAACAUGAAGAAUUCACAAAGGUGAAAAAUAUCGCGAAGAUCGAACUGGGGAGAUAUGAGAUAGACACAUGGUAUUUCUCUCCUUUUCCACCAGAGUAUAAUGACUGCCCGAAGCUGUUUUUCUGUGAAUUUUGCCUCAACUUCAUGAAGCGCAAAGAACAGCUUCAGAGGCACAUGAAGAAGUGUGAUCUUAAGCACCCCCCAGGUGAUGAAAUCUAUAGAAGUGGAACUCUAUCAAUGUUCGAGGUUGAUGGGAAGAAGAACAAGGUUUAUGGACAGAACCUUUGUUAUCUGGCUAAGCUAUUUCUUGAUCACAAGACAUUGUACUAUGAUGUUGAUUUGUUCUUGUUUUAUGUCCUCUGCGAAUGUGAUGAUCGGGGAUGUCAUAUGGUGGGAUAUUUCUCUAAGGAAAAACACUCCGAAGAAUCUUAUAAUUUGGCUUGCAUUCUCACUCUCCCCCCAUACCAAAGAAAAGGAUAUGGGAAGUUCCUGAUUGCUUUCUCAUAUGAACUUUCCAAGAAAGAAGGUAAAGUUGGGACACCGGAGCGCCCUCUCUCUGAUCUUGGUCUGCUCAGCUAUAGAGGUUAUUGGACUAGAGUGCUUCUGGAAAUUCUAAAGAAACAUAAGGGAAACAUAUCUAUAAAGUUCUAGAAAGAAACUUUCUAUUGGCUCCUCAUAUUACCCUACUUAACCCUUGAUCUAUGACCAAAAAAGGAACUAAGCGACAUGACGGCAAUAAAAGCAGAUGACAUAUUGAGCACGCUACAGAGCCUGGACCUAAUCCAGUACCGCAAAGGGCAGCACGUCAUCUGCGCUGACCCGAAGGUCCUCGACCGCCACCUCAAGGCGGCGGGGCGGGGCGGCCUGGACGUCGACGUUAGCAAGCUCAUAUGGACUCCCUACAAGGAGCAAGGCUAAAAGGCGAACUGCUCCGUGUCUCAGAUUUAGACUCGCUGACCGAUGCGAUGCAGUCCCUGUACAUAGCAUCUCCCCACAGCUCACUUGACUUGACUUGACUCGUGUACCGUGAAACUCUACUUGUAACUUUGAACAUCCACAUCGUUGUCUCCUCAUUUCUCCUUGCAUUAACCAUGCUACCUUUUUUUUUU